This 381-nucleotide RNase P RNA is filed under the name Flavivirga spongiicola. Its description in RNAcentral is "RNase P RNA component class A". It matches the Rfam family "Bacterial RNase P class A". Rfam says of the family: Ribonuclease P (RNase P) is a ubiquitous endoribonuclease, found in archaea, bacteria and eukarya as well as chloroplasts and mitochondria. Its best characterised activity is the generation of mature 5'-ends of tRNAs by cleaving the 5'-leader elements of precursor-tRNAs. Lineage: Bacteria; Pseudomonadati; Bacteroidota; Flavobacteriia; Flavobacteriales; Flavobacteriaceae. The record is from RNAcentral.
CAAGUAGAUUGCCUUAUCGCUCAUAUGCUGAACUUGUUUCAGUAUUAUUUCUUUUCGUUAACUGAAAAGUUAAAUUGAAAAGGUACUGAAACAAGUUCAGCACUUGGGAGGAAAGUCCGAACACCAUAGUGCAACAUAGUGGUUAACAACCACCAGUCGUGAGGCUAGGAAAAGUGCAACAGAAAGUAUGUACAGGUCAUGCUGUAGUGAAACCGGGUAAACUCUAUGCGGUGCAAUGUCAUGUAUACCAGUGUUUGAGGGCUGCACGCUCGAUGCUGGAGGGUAGGCAGCUAAAGCGUAUUGGUAACAAUACGCGUAGAUAAAUGAUAAGGAUCACGCUUUGGCGUGAUACAGAAUUCGGCUUAUAGAUUUACUUUAACA